GAAGAAAUAUUUAUUUAAAAACAAUAGUGAAGUGUAUCUUUAAAAAUGAACUUUUGGAAAAGGUCUUGGUACUUAACAGGUGAAGUGAUGCAAAGUGUUAAGCCUGGAGUCCGCAGCUAUAAUCUUAGUUCUGCACAGUAGCAGAACUGUGCAGUUCUCAUAUGAUCUUCACCUGAAUAUCACAUGAGUGACAUAAUAGGUAUCAACAUCUACAGGAAGUAAACAUCAGCAUCCCUUCACCCUUUGCUGGGACCUCUAGGCCUACCCUCUGCCAGAAUCAGACUGAAGAUCUCUGCCUGCAAAGCCAGUGAGAAGGUGGACUAUUGUUUAAGCCCCCACCUGAUUCCCCCAAAGAUAUUGUUUCUCUGAAAGCAAAGUUCACUCAUUUUCAUUGAACAAAAAAUUUGAACUAGUGAAAAAUUAUCUCUAUCUUUGCAAAUGAUUAUAUAUAUCUAAAUCUGUAAAGUUGCUAAAGGCAUGUCAUUUUGACUCUUAAAAAUAAAAAUGCUCAAGUCA
Molecule: non-coding RNA, 516 nt
Organism: Macaca mulatta (Rhesus monkey)
Lineage: Eukaryota; Metazoa; Chordata; Mammalia; Primates; Cercopithecidae
Source: RefSeq, a predicted model, not a curated record